GACGAACGCUGGCGGCGUGCUUAACACAUGCAAGUCGAACGGAAAGGCCCUGCUUUUGUGGUGUGCUCGAGUGGCGAUCGUGUGAGUAACACGUGCGUAACCUGCCCUUGACUUUGGUAUAACUUCUGGAAACUGGUGCUAAUACCGGAUAGGAUCUCCUGCUGCAUGGUGUGGGUUGGAAAUUUUCGUCGGUUGGGUAUGGACUCGCGGCUUAUCAGCUUUUUUGUGGGGUAGUGGCUUACCAAGGCUUUGACGGGUAGCAGGCCUGUGAGGGUGACCGGCAACAAUGGGACUGAGAUACGGCCCAGACUACUACGGGAGGCAGCAGUGGGGAAUAUUGCAAAAUGGGCGGAAGCCUGAUGCAGCAACGCAGCGUGCGGGAUGACGGCCUUCGGGUUGUAAACCGAUUUCGAAUGUGACGAAGCGAGAGUGACGGUAAUGGGUAAAGAAGCACCGGCUAACUACGUG
This 468-nucleotide ribosomal RNA is filed under the name uncultured bacterium. Its description in RNAcentral is "partial 16S ribosomal RNA". It matches the Rfam family "Bacterial small subunit ribosomal RNA", at positions 28 to 507 of the family's 1533-position model. The record is from RNAcentral.